Molecule: ribosomal RNA, 97 nt
Filed under: chicken gut metagenome
Source: RNAcentral
CAGGGAAAUACCUGUUCCCAUUCCGAACACAGAAGUCAAGCCUGAGUGUGCCGAAGAUACUUGCGGGUUACCCUGCUGGGAAAAUAGGUUGUCGCUA